This 560-nucleotide ribosomal RNA is filed under the name uncultured bacterium. RNAcentral's name for it is "partial 16S ribosomal RNA". It matches the Rfam family "Bacterial small subunit ribosomal RNA", at positions 355 to 1375 of the family's 1533-position model. The record is from RNAcentral.
UGGGGAAUAUUGGACAAUGGGCGCAAGCCUGAUCCAGCCAUGCCGCGUGAGUGAUGAAGGCCUUAGGGUUGUAAAGCUCUUUCGGCGGGGACGAUAAUGACGGUACCCGCAGAAGAAGCCCCGGCUAACUUCGUGCCAGCAGCCGCGGUAAUACGAAGGGGGCUAGCGUUGCUCGGAAUCACUGGGCGUAAAGGGCGCGUAGGCGGACAUUUAAGUCGGGGGUGAAAGCCCAGGGCUCAACCCUGGAAUUGCCUCCGAUACUGGGUGUCUCGAGACCGGAAGAGGUGAGUGGAACUGCGAGUGUAGAGGUGAAAUUCGUAGAUAUUCGCAAGAACACCAGUGGCGAAGGCGGCUCACUGGUCCGGUUCUGACGCUGAGGCGCGAAAGCGUGGGGAGCAAACAGGAUUAGAUACCCUGGUAGUCCACGCCGUAAACGAUGGAUGCUAGCCGUCGGCAGGCUUGCCUGUCAGUGGCGCAGCUAACGCUUUAAGCAUCCCGCCUGGGGAGUACGGCCGCAAGGUUAAAACUCAAAGGAAUUGACGGGGUCAUAGCUGUUUCCU